AUUGAACGCUGGCGGCAGGCUUAACACAUGCAAGUCGAGCGGGGUGAUGGUGGUUGCACUAUCACUUAGCGGCGGACGGGUGAGUAAUGCUUAGGAAUCUGCCUAUUAGUGGGGGAUAACUCGGGGAAACUCGGGCUAAUACCGCAUACGUCCUACGGGAGAAAGUGGGGGAUCUUCGGACCUCACGCUAAUAGAUGAGCCUAGGUCGGAUUAGCUAGUUGGUGAGGUAACGGCUCACCAAGGCGACGAUCCGUAGCUGGUCUGAGAGGAUGAUCAGCCACACGGGAACGGAGACACGGUCCAGACUCCUACGGGAGGCAGCAGUGGGGAAUAUUGGACAAUGGGCGAAAGCCUGAUCCAGCCAUGCCGCGUGUGUGAAGAAGGUCUUCGGAUUGUAAAGCACUUUAAGUUGGGAGGAAGGUCUGUAAGCUAAUAUCUUGCAGUCUUGACGUUACCAACAGAAUAAGCACCGGCUAACUCUGUGCCAGCAGCCGCCGUAA
This 500-nucleotide ribosomal RNA is filed under the name uncultured bacterium. RNAcentral's name for it is "partial 16S ribosomal RNA". It matches the Rfam family "Bacterial small subunit ribosomal RNA", at positions 30 to 523 of the family's 1533-position model. The record is from RNAcentral.